This 73-nucleotide transfer RNA is filed under the name Ovis aries (sheep). It matches the Rfam family "tRNA". Rfam says of the family: Transfer RNA (tRNA) molecules are approximately 80 nucleotides in length. Their secondary structure includes four short double-helical elements and three loops (D, anti-codon, and T loops). The record is from Rfam by way of RNAcentral. Lineage: Eukaryota; Metazoa; Chordata; Mammalia; Artiodactyla; Bovidae.
UCCCUGGUGGUCCAAUGGUUGAGACUCUGUGCUGCCAAUUCAGAGGGCGCAGGUUCAACCCCUGGUUAGGCAA